Molecule: ribosomal RNA, 440 nt
Filed under: uncultured bacterium
Lineage: Bacteria
Description: partial 16S ribosomal RNA
Rfam family: Bacterial small subunit ribosomal RNA
Source: RNAcentral
CUACGGGGUGCUCCAGUCGAGAAUCUUCCGCAAUGGGCGAAAGCCUGACGGAGCAAUGCCGCGUGCAGGAUGAAGGCCUUCGGGUCGUAAACUGCUGUCACAGGGGAUGAAUAAUGACAGUACCCGGGGAGGAAGUCACGGCUAACUACGUGCCAGCAGCCGCGGUAAUACGUAGGUGACAAGCGUUGUUCGGAUUUAUUGGGCGUAAAGGGUUCGUAGGAUGUUGAUUAAGAUUGGUGUGAAAUCCCAAGGCUCAACCGUGGAACUGCAUUGAUUACUGAUGAACUAGAGUGUCGUAGAGGAAAGCGGAAUUCCAGGUGUAGCGGUGGAAUGCGUAGAUAUCUGGAAGAACACCGACAGCGAAGGCAGCUUUCUGGGCGAUAACUGACUCUGAGGAACGAAAGCAUGGGGAGCAAACAGGAUUAGAUACCCCCGUAGUC